RNAcentral lists this ribosomal RNA (253 nucleotides) under uncultured bacterium. Its description in RNAcentral is "partial 16S ribosomal RNA". It matches the Rfam family "Bacterial small subunit ribosomal RNA", at positions 524 to 776 of the family's 1533-position model. The record is from RNAcentral.
UACGUAGGGGGCAAGCGUUGUCCGGAAUGACUGGGCGUAAAGGGUGUGUAGGCGGCUUUCUAAGUUAGGAGUGAAAUCCCCGGGCUUAACCCGGGUGCUGCUUUUAAAACUGGAGGGCUUGAGUGCAGGAGAGGUAAAUGGAAUUCCUAGUGUAGCGGUGGAAUGCGUAGAUAUUAGGAGGAACACCAGAGGCGAAGGCGAUUUACUGGACUGUAACUGACGCUGAAACACGAAAGUGUGGGGAGCAAACAGG